AGCUCCAAUAGCGUAUAUUAAAUUUGUUGCGGUUAAAACGCUCGUAGUUGAAUCUCUGCUAAGGCCAACCGGUCUGCCCACUGGGUGAGCACCUGGUUUGGUUUAUGCAUAUUCUUGGGGAUGUAUCUGCACUUGACUGCGUGGUUCAACACUGAGAUCAUUUACUUUGAAGAAAUUAGAGUGUUUCAAGCAAUCAAAUGUUUUGAAUACAGUAGCAUGGGAUAAUAAAACAAGGCUUCUGGCUUAUCUCUGUUGGCUUCUAGAGCUGAGGUGAUGGUUACUAGGGACGGCUGGGGGUGCUUGUAUUUAACUGUCAGAGGUGAAAUUCUUGGAUUCGUUGAGGACAGACUAAUGCGGAAGCAUUUGCCAAGAAUGUUAUGGUUG
RNAcentral lists this ribosomal RNA (384 nucleotides) under Unruhdinium sp. RNAcentral's name for it is "partial small subunit ribosomal RNA". It matches the Rfam family "Eukaryotic small subunit ribosomal RNA", at positions 587 to 975 of the family's 1831-position model. Lineage: Eukaryota; Dinophyceae; Peridiniales; Kryptoperidiniaceae. The record is from RNAcentral.